This 433-nucleotide ribosomal RNA is filed under the name uncultured bacterium. RNAcentral's name for it is "partial 16S ribosomal RNA". It matches the Rfam family "Bacterial small subunit ribosomal RNA", at positions 29 to 507 of the family's 1533-position model. The record is from RNAcentral.
AACGAACGCUGGCGGCAUGCCUAACACAUGCAAGUCGAACGAGACCUUCGGGUCUAUUGGCGCACGGGUGCGUAACGCGUGGGAACCUGCCCUUAGGUUCGGAAUAACUCAGAGAAAUUUGAGCUAAUACCGGAUAAUGUCUUCGGACCAAAGAUUUAUCGCCUUUGGAUGGGCCCGCGUAGGAUUAGCUUGUUGGUGGGGUAAUGGCCUACCAAGGCGACGAUCCUUAGCUGGUCUGAGAGGAUGAUCAGCCACACUGGGACUGAGACACGGCCCAGACUCCUACGGGAGGAAGCAGUGGGGAAUAUUGGACAAUGGGAGAAAGCCUGAUCCAGCAAUGCCGCGUGAGUGAUGAAGGCCUUAGGGUUGUAAAGCUCUUUUACCAGGGAUGAUAAUGACAGUACCUGGAGAAUAAGCUCCGGCUAACUCCGUG